This 253-nucleotide ribosomal RNA is filed under the name uncultured bacterium. RNAcentral describes it as "partial 16S ribosomal RNA". It matches the Rfam family "Bacterial small subunit ribosomal RNA", at positions 524 to 776 of the family's 1533-position model. The record is from RNAcentral.
UACGUAGGGGGCGAGCGUUGUCCGGAAUCAUUGGGCGUAAAGCGCGUGUAGGCGGCCUGGCAAGUCUGGCGUGAAAUCCCGCGGCUCAACCGCGGAACUGCGCUGGAUACUGCCAGGCUCGAGUCCGGGAGAGGAGAGUGGAAUUCCUGGUGUAGCGGUGGAAUGCGCAGAUAUCAGGAGGAACACCCGUGGCGAAGGCGGCUCUCUGGAACGGUACUGACGCUGAGACGCGAAAGCGUGGGGAGCGAACAGG